This 159-nucleotide microRNA precursor is filed under the name Glycine max (soybean). Its description in RNAcentral is "glycine max miR164h stem-loop". It matches the Rfam family "MIR164 microRNA precursor family". Lineage: Eukaryota; Viridiplantae; Streptophyta; Magnoliopsida; Fabales; Fabaceae. The record is from RNAcentral.
UUGUGCAAGAUGGAGAAGCAGGGCACGUGCAAUACUACCUCAUGAACACACGGCGUGUGAGCUCGGAGAUCAAUCACAUUCUUUUCUGCUUCAUUUGACCAACCCAGAGAGAUCCUAUGAGUUAGUCCUUCAUGUGCCCCCCUUCCCCAUCAUGACAAC